Molecule: ribosomal RNA, 406 nt
Filed under: uncultured bacterium
Lineage: Bacteria
Description: partial 16S ribosomal RNA
Rfam family: Bacterial small subunit ribosomal RNA
Source: RNAcentral
AUUGAACGCUGGCGGCAGGCCUAACACAUGCAAGUCGAACGAGUGGCGGACGGGUGAGUAAUGUCUGGGACACUGCCUGAUGGAGGGGGAUAACUACUGGAAACGGUAGCUAAUACCGCAUACCAUACGAUGUGCCCAGAUGGGAUUAGCUUGUUGGUGGGGUAAAGGCUCACCAAGGCGCCGAUCCCUAGCUGGUCUGAGAGGAGAGCCAGCCAUACUGGAACUGAGACCCGGUCCAGACUCCUACGCGAGGCAGCAGUGGGGAAUAUUGCACAAUGGGCGGAAGCCUGAUGCAGCCAUGCCGCGUGUAUGAAGAAGGCCUUCGGGUGGUAAAGUACGUUCAGCGGGGAGGCGUUACCCGCAGAAGAAGCACCGGCUAACUCCGUGCCAGCAGCCGCGGUAAUAC